Molecule: transfer RNA, 66 nt
Filed under: Cyrtodactylus peguensis
Lineage: Eukaryota; Metazoa; Chordata; Lepidosauria; Squamata; Gekkonidae
Description: tRNA Val
Source: RNAcentral
CAAAAAGUAGGUUACACCAAAGCACUUGACCUACAACCAAGAGACGCUAACCCAAAGCCUUUUUGA